RNAcentral lists this ribosomal RNA (401 nucleotides) under uncultured bacterium. Its description in RNAcentral is "bacterial SSU rRNA". It matches the Rfam family "Bacterial small subunit ribosomal RNA", at positions 356 to 773 of the family's 1533-position model. The record is from RNAcentral.
GGGGAAUCUUGCGCAAUGGGGGAAACCCUGACGCAGCGACGCCGCGUGCGGGAUGAAGGCCUUCGGGUCGUAAACCGCUUUCAGCAGGGACGAAAUUGACGGUACCUGCAGAAGAAGCCCCGGCCAACUACGUGCCAGCAGCCGCGGUAAUACGUAGGGGGCAAGCGUUGUCCGGAUUUAUUGGGCGUAAAGAGCUCGUAGGCGGCUUGGUAAGUUGGGUGUGAAAUCUCCACGCUCAACGUGGAGGGGCCACUCGAUACUGCCAUGGCUAGAGUCCGGUAGGGGAGUGUGGAAUUCCCGGUGUAGCGGUGAAAUGCGCAGAGAUCGGGAGGAACACCCGUAGCGAAGGCGGCACUCUGGGCCGGUACUGACGCUGAGGAGCGAAAGCGUGGGGAGCGAAC